This is a long non-coding RNA of Gossypium raimondii (Peruvian cotton), 1485 nucleotides long. RefSeq lists it as uncharacterized. Lineage: Eukaryota; Viridiplantae; Streptophyta; Magnoliopsida; Malvales; Malvaceae. The transcript is spliced from 4 exons. The record is from RefSeq and is a predicted model, not a curated record.
UUUGUGAAAAACGCCGCAAAAGAUCAGCAAUAGCGGCGUUUUUAUGAAAAACACCACAAAAAAUAAUUUCACUUUAAAAAAACAGGCGCCAUAUUAUAAAAUUCCCUCCCAACUUUCCCCCCAAAAUCCCUAAUUUCCCACGUCCAAGAAAAAAAAACCCAAAAGCUUAUUAACUCUGUGUUUUUUCCUUUCUCUCUUUCUCUUUCUUGUGUUCCUGUUCUUGCUUUUAGUAGUCUAAUUAUUGGUUUUCCUCUUUUUCUUUUGUAUUUUUUUUUCAAACUCCAUUUUUCAAAUCUUUUCUUUUGAAUUUCUGAUCCAUUCAGAGUGCUGAAAAAUAUUCAGAACAUAUAUGUUUCAGCAAGUAAAUAUUUAGGGAUGGGGUUUACAAGGAGCUACGUCGGGCAUGGAGGAUGCCAAAGAGCAAAUUGUACAGGAGUCCAAAAAUUCCACGCUACCAUCUAAAGAUGAGGUUGUGUUCUUAUCUUGGUUCAUUGUGGAAUAUUUGAUUGGUUAAAGAUUUUAGCUACAUACAGAAAAAUCCCUUCAUCCCUGGAAGAGAGAUACCUCCUGAUGCACAAGAUCAAAUACAGAGAUUUUAUCAUUACUGAAGCAAAGAGAAGAAGUGUGAAUGGAAAAUAUUCUUAUUGCUAGCUUUUUUACUUCAGCAUGAGUUGUUAGAUAAUGCCAUAGCUAGUUGCAUUGAAAAUGAAGGUCGUGCCUUUAUUUUCAAUUGUUUUAUUCCCUGUAACUUAGUUUAGUCUCGUGUUAGUUUUUAUUUGUAUUGGGUAGUUUGACAGUGGUUUUCCAUUGUAAUGUAGAGGAUGUUUUGUCUUUUGGGGAUGAAGAUAUGGUUUCGGUUGAUCAGGAAAAUGAAGAAUUUCAGGACUGUGAGUUUCGUGCUGAGGGACAUGAAGGAACCCCUCAUGAAGCUCUUAUUUUGGCGCUUGGCUAUUUGGGUGUGCGGGAUCUUUUUGUUAUUGAGAAUGUUUGCACAUCUCUGCGAUCUGUAGUUCAGAAUGAUCCUCUUUUAUGGAGGGAUAUUCACAUAAAUCCGCCAAUAAUCCAAAGCUAAUCAAGAUGGGCUGAACAUGUUUGAUGGAACUGAUGCACAUUACUUCCGCACGGGGUUAAGGGGUCACCACUCGGUGUGGGAUUCUCGCCUUUUUAAUUAUGGAAGCUGGGAAGUAUGUACUUCUACCUAAACAUUUCUUAAUGAAUAGCUCUUGUUUAAAGAUUUUGGCUUCCUCCCUUCCAGUUGUAAAUAUUUUUUCUUAGUUGUUGCUUUAGGUAUUGAGGUAUCUUCUUUCAUAUGCAAGAUGGUGGCUGGAGGAGUAUAAGUUUGAUGGGUACAGAUUUGAUGGUGUGACUUCAAUGAUGUACAAGAUUUCCUUGAUUAAGUAAAUGUAUUAUUUAUUUGAGUAAAAAAAUGCAUUGUAUGUUUUAUUACCUUGAAUAUGUAUUAUUUAUUUUAGUUUUGAUUCUAAA